Molecule: ribosomal RNA, 879 nt
Filed under: uncultured bacterium
Lineage: Bacteria
Description: bacterial SSU rRNA
Rfam family: Bacterial small subunit ribosomal RNA
Source: RNAcentral
GUUUGAUCAUGGCUCAGAACGAACGCUGGCGGCGUGCCUCAUACAUGCAAGUCGAACGAGAAAGCCCGGCUUCGGUUGGGUUAGUAAAGUGGCGCACGGGUGCGUAACACGUGAGGAACAUGCCCCUAUAUCGGGGAUAAGCCUGCGAAAGCGGGUCUAAUACCGGAUGUUGUCAUUGGAUCGCAUGGUUCGAUGAUUAAAGGCGGUUGAGUCUAUGCCGUCGUAUAGGGAUUGUCUCGCGGCCCAUUAGCUAGUUGGCGGUGUAAUAGACCACCAAGGCUCCGAUGGGUAGCCGACCUGAGAGGGUGACCAGCCACACUGGGACUGAGAUACGGCCCAGACUCCUACGGGAGGCAGCAGUAGGGAAUAUUGGACAAUGGGGGAAACCCUGAUCCAGCAACGCCGCGCGGAUGAUGAAGCUUUUUGGAGUGUAAAAUCCUGUCAGUGGGGACGAAACGUCCGGGUAGGAAAUGCCCCGGGCCUGACUGUACCCGCAGAGGAAGUUCCGGCCAACUCCGUGCCAGCAGCCGCGGUAAUACGGGGGGAACGAGCGUUGUUCGGAUUUACUGGGCGUAAAGGGCACGCAGGCGGGGAGACAAGUCAGAUGUGAAAACCCAUAGCUUAACUCUGGGCCUGCAUUUGAUACUGUUUCUCUUGAGUACGGGAGAGGAUGGCGGAAUUCUUGGUGUAGCGGUGAAAUGCGUAGAUAUCAAGAAGAACACCGGUGGCGAAGGCGGCCAUCUGGCCCGAUACUGACGCUCAUGUGCGAAGGCAAGGGGAGCAAACAGGAUUAGAUACCCUGGUAGUCCUUGCAGUAAACGAUGGAUACUAGGUGUUGGAGGUAUCGACUCCUCCAGUGCCGCAGCUAACGCAUUAAGU